CCUACGGGAGGCAGCAGUGGGGAAUAUUGCACAAUGGGCGGAACCCUGAUGCAGCAAUGCCGCGUGAAGGAUGAAGGCUUUCGGGUUGUAAACUUCUUUUGUACGGGAAGAGGAGAAUGCCGGUCCUGUCAGAUUAAGCACCGGCUAACUACGUGCCAGCAGCCGCGGUAAUACGUAGGUGGCAAGCGUUAUCCGGAUUUACUGGGUGUAAAGGGGGAGUAGGCGGGAUGCCAAGUCAGAUGUGAAAACUAUGGGCUCAACCGCAAGAGUGCAUUUGAAACUGUAGUUCUUGAGUGAUGGAGAGGCAGGCGGAAUUCCCGGUGUAGCGGUGGAAUGCGUAGAUAUCGGGAGGAACACCAGUGGCGAAGGCGGCCUGCUGGACAGUAACUGACGCUGAGGCGCGAAAGCGUGGGGAGCAAACAGGAUUAGAUACCCCUGUAGUC
This 443-nucleotide ribosomal RNA is filed under the name uncultured bacterium. RNAcentral describes it as "partial 16S ribosomal RNA". It matches the Rfam family "Bacterial small subunit ribosomal RNA", at positions 338 to 795 of the family's 1533-position model. The record is from RNAcentral.